Molecule: ribosomal RNA, 515 nt
Filed under: uncultured bacterium
Lineage: Bacteria
Description: partial 16S ribosomal RNA
Rfam family: Bacterial small subunit ribosomal RNA
Source: RNAcentral
GAUGAACGCUGGCGGCGUGCCUAAUACAUGCAAGUCGAGCGAAUGGAUUAAGAGCUUGCUCUUAUGAAGUUAGCGGCGGACGGGUGAGUAACACGUGGGUAACCUGCCCAUAAGACUGGGAUAACUCCGGGAAACCGGGGCUAAUACCGGAUAACAUUUUGAACCGCAUGGUUCGAAAUUGAAAGGCGGCUUCGGCUGUCACUUAUGGAUGGACCCGCGUCGCAUUAGCUAGUUGGUGAGGUAACGGAUCACCAAAGCCACGAUGCGUAGCCGACCUGAGAGGGUGAGCGGCCACACUGGGACUGAGACACGGCCCAGACUCCUACGGGAGGCAGCAGUAGGGAAUCUUCCGCAAUGGACGAAAGUCUGACGGAGCAACGCCGCGUGAGUGAUGAAGGCUUUCGGGUCGUAAAACUCUGUUGUUAGGGAAGAACAAGUGCUAGUUGAAUAAGCUGACACCUUGACGGUACCUAACCAGAAAGCCACGGCUAACUACGUGCCAGCCGCCGCAGUAA